RNAcentral lists this ribosomal RNA (325 nucleotides) under Paenibacillus polymyxa. RNAcentral describes it as "bacterial SSU rRNA". It matches the Rfam family "Bacterial small subunit ribosomal RNA", at positions 416 to 734 of the family's 1533-position model. Lineage: Bacteria; Bacillati; Bacillota; Bacilli; Caryophanales; Paenibacillaceae. The record is from RNAcentral.
UUUCGGAUCGUAAAGCUCUGUUGCCAGGGAAGAACGUCUGAUAGAGUAACUGCUCUUGAAGUGACGGUACCUGAGAAGAAAGCCCCGGCUAACUACGUGCCAGCAGCCGCGGUAAUACGUAGGGGGCAAGCGUUGUCCGGAAUUAUUGGGCGUAAAGCGCGCGCAGGCGGCUCUUUAAGUCUGGUGUUUAAUCCCGAGGCUCAACUUCGGGUCGCACUGGAAACUGGGGAGCUUGAGUGCAGAAGAGGAGAGUGGAAUUCCACGUGUAGCGGUGAAAUGCGUAGAGAUGUGGAGGAACACCAGUGGCGAAGGCGACUCUCUGGGC